Long non-coding RNA from Heterocephalus glaber (naked mole-rat), 325 nucleotides. The record is from Ensembl. Lineage: Eukaryota; Metazoa; Chordata; Mammalia; Rodentia; Bathyergidae.
CAGGAGAUCCCUGAGGACCACCCUGAGGACAAGAACCAUCCAGUGUCAUGAGGGGAACAUGCAGCAUUUUAUGCCUACCGAGUUAAAGCAAAGGUCGAAUUCCACAAGUCAAAAAUCAGCCCCUUUCAGAGACCCAACUCUCUGGGACGUCCAGGGGUCUGGGUUGCAUUGAGAAGAAAACUGGAAAAAAGGCUGCCUCCCUCUGUCAGUUGUCCUACCAACUCAAGCUGAGUAUCAGUGCCAGAUGUCUGGUUCCUGCCACUCUACUGCAUAGAUGCAAGCAUUGGAGACGUGAUGACUGCCCAUGGUGUUUGCAACAGUCCUG